GUGACCUCGGAUCAGGUAGGAAUACCCGCUGAACUUAAGCAUAUCAA
RNAcentral lists this ribosomal RNA (47 nucleotides) under Colletotrichum truncatum. RNAcentral describes it as "partial 28S ribosomal RNA". The record is from RNAcentral. Lineage: Eukaryota; Fungi; Ascomycota; Sordariomycetes; Glomerellales; Glomerellaceae.